RNAcentral lists this long non-coding RNA (914 nucleotides) under Daphnia pulicaria. Its description in RNAcentral is "uncharacterized LOC124326699, transcript variant X2". Lineage: Eukaryota; Metazoa; Arthropoda; Branchiopoda; Diplostraca; Daphniidae. The record is from RNAcentral.
GUCGCCUUUGUUGUUGUUAUAUCGUGAAACGCGAAAAGGGCGAAACAAAAUUGUAGCUAAUAUGUACUUAUAUUCCUGUGAUUUAAAUUACCAAAUUGAAUUUCGUAAUAUAUAUGCAUAGGCCUACUGUCAGUCAUUACAUGAUUACAACAAGUUGACUUAGCGCUCAGUCAAUUUCCAUCCAUUAGGCCCGUCAUGCUGUCAAAGGCCUAAAACUCAUGUUUGAAGAUGAAGACCACAUGUAGUGGAAUACAAAUCUGCCGAGAUAAGAAUCUUUUCUGAAUCUUUCAAUUUUGGUGGCGUACCCUGCCAGGCUGCCACAGCAUGUUUGUUGUUAUGUAUGUUUUUACUUCUGUUUUAGAAGACAACCCAGCUAAGAGAUAGUUUCAGAGAAAUGAAGUGUGUGAAGUGAAUAACCUGCCAUGUGUAUGAACAUGUACCAGAUCUGCUUGAUGAAAGUCAAAUGCCUACUAAAUUCAUCACCCAUAUGAUAAGCACCAGGAAAUUUAUCUCAACAUGUGGAGUAAUGCUGUUGAUUGAUGUGAAUUCAAUUUUUACGGUUUUUUCAUCAUGAGCAUUUCAGUGUGCUUAUUAGAUCAGAACACACAGUUUCUUAAUUGUAUCUUGUGGUCCUGACACGGAGAUUCUUCUGCCUAUGCUGACCUUUGUCCAUGAUGGAAGAGAGACUUCCAACAACAUUCUUCUCCAUCCUUAUCUUCGCGACGCACGCUCAUCUAGCUUCACUGCUUUUAAACACAAUUUGUUUUACUUCACUGGCGACUUGGCGAGUUUCUGGACCACUUCGCUACCCUUUGCUGUUCCACACCUGCAGUCACCCACCACGGGAUUAUGCUUAGGUAAUGCAGAGGAAAUUUCGAGAAGAUGGACACCAUAACGUCGCCGGUAUCUCCAAA